AGCUGGAAGCCCGGCCGUGACCAUGUAAGGAAGCCGGGACCCGCUGGGAUGGGGAUGGGGGGGCGAUGAACGGGGGAACCCGAGGUAGGGGCGUGGAAACGAGGGAGCGCCCCGGCCCACCCAAGCCCAGCCCGCCGGCCUGCGGUGGAGGCGGCCACACCCCAGCCUUGGCCUCAGCUGCAGGGAGCCCCAGGAGGCCAGUGCCAGAAAGAAGUGGCUUCUCCAGACCAAGCCCCAUAGCCGCUCCCUAGGGAGACUUACAGACACGGACUGCGGCCCCCAAGCAGACACCCCGCAAAGCCAGAGCCUGAGUCCUAGACAAGAGCCUCCCUCCCACCCAUGCCAUUCCUGGGAGACUCGUCCCAGACGGAAUUUUUGGAUUGGUAGCAGGAGAGAUGUUCUAAGGCUCAGACCUCAGGUUCAGAGACCUUCCCAUCGGAGACCCUGACAGAUUAAAUAGAGGCCCCAAGAGGCAUACAUACUAGACACAAAGAAAUCUCAAGGACGGGGACAGACACAGUGAACCCACCCACAGACUCUACACUAGGACCUUCCCUCCAAGACUUGGUCAUAGACACAGGUAAACUCGAACCCGGGCGCAAGCCCUUUGCAAAUGCGGGGCAAACACUCCCAGGCAACCAACCCCCAGCCAGCCUGCAAGACAAAGCCCUUCCUCAACACUGAGGUGGCCCAGGCCUGCUCCCAAACAGCCCUUUCCCAAGUUACUGAUGAACUCAGAGCAGAAAGCAAGACAAAGUCUCCAGCCACAAAGUAGUAAGGCUUCCCUGGACUGAGACCCUGAGAAAUGAGGUGGAAACGAGAGGCCCUAGAGGUAGUUGUGGACAGACAACAGUGCAGCAGCCACUCUCUUGGACAGAUCUGGGCACUGGACUAUGGGUCUCAACCCAGGAGCAAAUCAGAACAACCUGGGGAGCUUUUAAAAAUGCCAGAUGGGCAUGGUGGCUCACACCUAUAAUCCCAGCACUUUGGGAGGCCAAGGCGGGCAGGUCACUUGAGGUCAGGAGUUCGAGACCAGCCUGGCCAACGUGAUGAAACCUCGUCUCUACUAAAAAUACAAAAUUAGCCAUGCGUGGUGGCGGGCGCCUAUAUUCCCAGCUACUUGGGAGGCUGAGACACGAGAAUUACUUGAAGCCGGGAGGCAGAGGCUGCAAUGAGCUGAGACUGUGCCACUGAACUCCUGGGCGAUAGAGGAGACCCUGUCUCAAGAAUAAAAAAGAAAAAGAAAAAAAAUGGGCAAAUGACCUGAAUAGACAGUUCAAUACGUUAUAUAAAUAGCCAAUAAUUACAUGAAAAUAUCCUCAACAUCAUUAGUCCCCAGAGAAAUGCAAAUCAAAACUACAAUGAGAUGCCACAUCAUAUCUAUUAGGAUGACGAUAAUAAAAAAAGACAGGUAAUUAGGCCAGGAGUGGUGGCUCAUGCCUGUGAUCCCUACACUUUGGAAGGCCGAGGUGGGUGGAUCACCUGAGGUCAGGAGUUCAAGACCAGCCUGGCUAACAUGGUGAAAACAGUCUCUACUAAAAACACACAAAAACUUAGCCGGGCACAGCAGCAGGCACCUGUAGUCCCAGCUACUUGGGAGGCUGAGGCAGGAGAAUCCCUUGAACCUGGCAGGUGGAGGCUGCAGUGAGCUGAGAUUGCACCACUGCACUCCAGCCUGGGCAACAGAGAGAGACUCCAUCUCAAAUAAUAAUAAUAUUUUAAAGGCCAAGCUCGGUGGUUCAUGCCUGUAAUCCCAGCACUUUGGGAGGCCAAGGCAGGCGGAUCACCUGAGGUCGGGAGUUUGAGACCAGCCUGGUUAACUUGGCAAAACCCCGUCUCUACUAAAAAUACAAAAAUUAGCUGGGCAUGGUGGCGGACACCUGUAAUCCCAGCUACUCGGAAGGCUGAGGCAGGAGAAUCACUUGAAUUAGGGAGGCAGAGGUUGCAGUGAGCAGAGAUCGUGCCACUGGACUCCAGCCUGGGUGACAGAGGGAGACUCCGACUCAAAAAAAAAAAACUGAAAAAAAGAGGUAUUUAACAAGUUUUUGUGAGGAUGUGGAGACAUUGGAACCCUCACACAUGGCUGGUUGGAAUGUAAAAUCAUUCACUAACUUUGGAAAAUAGUCUGGCAGUUCCUCAGAUGUUUAAACAUAGAACAUAGAAUUAUAUGAUCCAGCCAUUUCCCUUCUAGAUAUGUAACCAAGAGAAAUAAAAGCCUAUUCCACAAAAAAACCUUGUACAUGAAUAUUCAUAGCAGCAUUAUUCAUAAUAGCCCCAGAGUGGAAACAACCCAAAUGUCCGUCAACUGAUGACUGAAGAAACAAAAGUGGCA
This is a long non-coding RNA of Piliocolobus tephrosceles (Ugandan red Colobus), 2332 nucleotides long. RefSeq lists it as uncharacterized. The transcript has 2 exons. The record is from RefSeq and is a predicted model, not a curated record. NCBI's taxonomy places the organism in Eukaryota, Metazoa, Chordata, Mammalia, Primates, Cercopithecidae.